UACAGAGGGUGCAAGCGUUAAUCGGAAUUACUGGGCGUAAAGCGCGCGUAGGCGGCUUUGUAAGUUAGAGGUGAAAGCCCGGGGCUCAACCCCGGAACUGCCUUUAAGACUGCAUCGCUUGAAUCCGGGAGAGGUGAGUGGAAUUCCGAGUGUAGAGGUGAAAUUCGUAGAUAUUCGCAAGAACACCAGUGGCGAAGGCGGCUCACUGGCCCGAUACUGACGCUGAGGUGCGAAAGCGUGGGGAGCAAACAGG
Molecule: ribosomal RNA, 253 nt
Filed under: uncultured bacterium
Lineage: Bacteria
Description: partial 16S ribosomal RNA
Rfam family: Bacterial small subunit ribosomal RNA
Source: RNAcentral